AGUCGAGGGAGAACCAUUCGAUCCGUAAGGACCGAAUGGGGAAACCGGCGAACGGGUGCGUAACACGUGAGGAACCUGCCCCGAAGACCGGGAUAGCCCGAGGAAACUCGGAUUAAUACCGGAUACCCUCUUUGGACCACAUGGUCCGCUGAGGAAACGGUCCGCCGCUUCGGGAUGGCCUCGCGGCCUAUCAGCUUGUUGGUGAGGUAACGGCUCACCAAGGCAAAGACGGGUAGCUGGUCUGAGAGGACGAUCAGCCACACUGGGACUGAGACACGGCCCAGACUCCUACGGGAGGCAGCAGCAGGGAAUAUUGCACAAUGGGCGAAAGCCUGAUGCAGCGACACCGCGUGCGGGAUGAAGGCCCUCGGGUUGUAAACCGCUUUCAGGAGGGACGAAAAUGACGGUACCUCCAGAAGAAGGCCCGGCCAACUACGUGCCAGCAGCCGCGGUAAUACGUAGGGGCCAAACGUUGUCCGGAUUUAUUGGGCGUAAAGGGCUCGUAGGCGGUUCAACAAGUCGAUCGUGAAAGCCCGGGGCUCAACCCCGGGACGCCGGUCGAAACUGUUGUGACUAGGGUCCGGUAGAGGUGAGUGGAAUUCUCGGUGUAGCGGU
RNAcentral lists this ribosomal RNA (615 nucleotides) under uncultured bacterium. Its description in RNAcentral is "bacterial SSU rRNA". It matches the Rfam family "Bacterial small subunit ribosomal RNA", at positions 60 to 682 of the family's 1533-position model. The record is from RNAcentral.